AGAGUUUGAUCCUGGCUCAGGAUGAACGCUGGCGGCGUGCUUAACACAUGCAAGUCGAGCGGGAAUUAGUUAGGUGCUUGCACCUAACUAAUUUUAGCGGCGUAGCGGCGGACGGGUGAGUAACGCGUGGGUAACCUGCCUUAUACAGGGGGAUAACAUAUUGAAAAGUAUGCUAAUACCGCAUAAGCGCACAAUAUCGCAUGAUAUGGUGUGAAAAGCUGAGACGGUAUAAGAUGGACCCGCGUCUGAUUAGCUAGUAGGUGAGGUAAUGGCUCACCUAGGCGACGAUCAGUAGCCGACCUGAGAGGGUGAUCGGCCACAUUGGGACUGAGACACGGCCCAAACUCCUACGGGAGGCAGCAGUGGGGAAUAUUGCACAAUGGGGGAAACCCUGAUGCAGCGACGCCGCGUGAAGGAUGAAGGUUUUCGGAUCGUAAACUUCUAUCAGCAGGGACGAUAAUGACGGUACCUGACUAAGAAGCCCCGGCUAACUACUACGUGCCAGCAGCCGCGGUAAUACGUAGGGGGCAAGCGUUAUCCGGAAUUACUGGGUGUAAAGGGUGCGUAGGCGGUAAUGUAAGUCAGGUGUGAAAGCCCGAAGCUCAACUUCGGGAUUGCACUUGAAACUACAUAACUAGAGUACAGGAGAGGUGAGUGGAAUUCCUAGUGUAGCGGUGAAAUGCGUAGAUAUUAGGAGGAACACCAGUGGCGAAGGCGGCUUUCUGGACUGUAACUGACGCUGAGGCACGAAAGCGUGGGGAGCAAACAGGAUUAGAUACCCUGGUAGUCCACGCUGUAAACGAUGGAUACUAGGUGUGGGGGAGAUACAACCUCCGUGCCGCAGCUAACGCAAUAAGUAUCCCGCCUGGGGAGUACGGUCGCAAGACUGAAACUCAAAGGAAUUGACGGGGGCCCGCACAAGCGGUGGAGUAUGUGGUUUAAUUCGACGCAACGCGAAGAACCUUACCAAGGCUUGACAUCCUGUGACAGCUAUAGAAAUAUAGACUUCUUAGUUUACUAAGACACAGAGACAGGUGGUGCAUGGUUGUCGUCAGCUCGUGUCGUGAGAUGUUGGGUUAAGUCCCGCAACGAGCGCAACCCUUAUCUUUAGUAGCCAGCACGUAACGGUGGGAACUCUAGAGAGACUGCCGAGGAUAACUCGGAGGAAGGUGGGGAUGACGUCAAAUCAUCAUGCCCCUUAUGAUCUGGGCUACACACGUGCUACAAUGGCGAUAACAAAGGGAAGCAAAAGGGUGACCUCUAGCAAACCCCAGAAAAGUCGUCCCAGUUCGGAUUGUAGUCUGCAACUCGACUACAUGAAGUUGGAAUCGCUAGUAAUCGCGAAUCAGAAUGUCGCGGUGAAUACGUUCCCGGGUCUUGUACACACCGCCCGUCACACCAUGGGAGUUGGAAGCGCCCGAAGCCAGUGACUCAACCGCAAGGAGAGAGCUGUCGAAGGUGAAGCCAAUGACUGGGGUGAAGUCGUAACAAGGUAACC
This 1498-nucleotide ribosomal RNA is filed under the name uncultured bacterium. RNAcentral's name for it is "16S ribosomal RNA". It matches the Rfam family "Bacterial small subunit ribosomal RNA". The record is from RNAcentral.